This 86-nucleotide transfer RNA is filed under the name Candidatus Phytoplasma asteris. RNAcentral's name for it is "tRNA-Leu". It matches the Rfam family "tRNA". Rfam says of the family: Transfer RNA (tRNA) molecules are approximately 80 nucleotides in length. The record is from RNAcentral. Lineage: Bacteria; Bacillati; Mycoplasmatota; Mollicutes; Acholeplasmatales; Acholeplasmataceae. RNAcentral also lists the same sequence under 2 other names.
GCGGAUAUGACGGAAUGGUAGACGUGCAUGCUUGAGGGGCAUGUAAGAGAUAUCUUGUGUGAGUUCAAAUCUCACUAUCCGCACCA